AAGAAAGUAAAUAAGGGCGCAUGGCGGAUGCCUUGGCUCUCGGAGGCGAUGAAGGACGUGAUAAGCUGCGAUAAGCUUCGGGUAGGUGCAAAUGACCAUUGAUCCGAAGAUUUCCGAAUGGGACAACCCGGCAUUCUGAAGGAAUGUCAUCCAACUUUGUUGGAGGCUAACGCAGGGAACUGAAACAUCUUAGUACCUGCAGGAAAAGAAAAUAAAUAAUGAUUCCCCUAGUAGUGGCGAGCGAACGGGGAUUAGCCCAAACCACCCAUGUUACGGCAUGUGUGGGGUUGUAGGACCACGCUCUCGCAAGACAGUUAUUGAGAAGAAACGGCUGGAAAGUCGUGCCAUAGACGGUGAUAGCCCGGUAUUCUAAGGUAACCGAAGCGUAGUGGUAUCCUGAGUAGCGCGGAGCACGAGGAAUUCUGCGUGAAUCAGCCGGGACCAUCCGGUAAGGCUAAAUACUCCCGAGAGACCGAUAGCGAACCAGUACUGUGAAGGAAAGGUGAAAAGCACUUCGAAUAGAAGAGUGAAAUAGUCCCUGAAACCAUGCGCCUACAAGCGGUCGGAGCAGCUUAAGCUGUGACGGCGUGCCUUUUGCAUAAUGAACCUACGAGUUACUUUUUCCGGCAAGGUUAAGCAUCUUGAGAUGUGGAUCCGAAGCGAAAGCGAGUCUGAACAGGGCGGAUAGUCGGAAGGAGUAGACGCGAAACCAAGUGAUCUACCCUUGGGCAGGUUGAAGGUUAGGUAACACUAACUGGAGGACCGAACCGAUAAGCGUUGAAAAGCUUCCGGAUGACCUGAGGGUGGGGGUGAAAGGCUAAUCAAACUUGGAGAUAGCUCGUACUCCCCGAAAUGCAUUUAGGUGCAGCCUUGAGAGUUACUAAUGUGAGGUAGAGCGACUGAUAAGAUGCGAGGGCUUCACCGCCUAUCAAGUCUUGAUAAACUCCGAAUGCGCAUUAGUUCUAUCUCAGGAGUGAGGGCAUGGGUGCUAAGGUCCAUGUCCUAAAGGAGAAGAAUCCAGACCAUCAGCUAAGGUCCCCAAAUAAACACUAAGUUGAACUAACGAAGUCAGAUUGCUAAGACAGCUAGGAUGUUGGCUUGGAAGCAGCCAUUCAUUUAAAGAGUGCGUAACAGCUCACUAGUCGAGGAGUUUGGCGUGGAUAAUAAUCGGGCAU
Molecule: ribosomal RNA, 1175 nt
Filed under: Bacteroides fragilis
Lineage: Bacteria; Pseudomonadati; Bacteroidota; Bacteroidia; Bacteroidales; Bacteroidaceae
Description: partial 23S ribosomal RNA
Rfam family: Bacterial large subunit ribosomal RNA
Source: RNAcentral